CUGUUAGUCCCCGCCCCUGGAGCGCCGCAUCCGGUAGCGAGAGUUCAACUUCCUGACUAGGAGCCAAUCAGGGGAGCCGCCUCGCUGUCUACGACAGAGGGUGGGGGAAGACGCGCCGUUUCCGGUGGCAGGGUCUGGGGAAGGGGCGGCAGGCGCCAUGUCCGGCCGCGAAGGUGGCAAGAAGAAGCCACUGAAACAGCCUAAGAAGCAGGCCAAGGAGAUGGACGAGG
Molecule: non-coding RNA, 230 nt
Organism: Chlorocebus sabaeus (green monkey)
Lineage: Eukaryota; Metazoa; Chordata; Mammalia; Primates; Cercopithecidae
Source: RefSeq, a predicted model, not a curated record